AUACUUACCUGGUAGGGUAAUCAUGUGAUCAUGAAGGUAGUUUUCCCAAGGUGAGACUUGUCCACUGCACUCUGGAUAUGCUGACCUCUGCAAUUGCCCAAAUGUGGGAAACUCAAAGGCAUACUUUGUGGUAGUGGGGGAAUGUGCUUGUGUUUUCCCCUG
This 162-nucleotide small nuclear RNA is filed under the name Dasypus novemcinctus (nine-banded armadillo). RNAcentral describes it as "U1 spliceosomal RNA (ENSDNOG00000043923.1)". It matches the Rfam family "U1 spliceosomal RNA". From Rfam's summary of the family: U1 is a small nuclear RNA (snRNA) component of the spliceosome (involved in pre-mRNA splicing). Its 5' end forms complementary base pairs with the 5' splice junction, thus defining the 5' donor site of an intron. The record is from RNAcentral. Lineage: Eukaryota; Metazoa; Chordata; Mammalia; Cingulata; Dasypodidae.